Molecule: ribosomal RNA, 909 nt
Filed under: Enterococcus faecium
Lineage: Bacteria; Bacillati; Bacillota; Bacilli; Lactobacillales; Enterococcaceae
Description: bacterial SSU rRNA
Rfam family: Bacterial small subunit ribosomal RNA
Source: RNAcentral
GGGGCAGGCGGCGUGCUAUACAUGCAGUCGUACGCUUCUUUUUCCCCGGAGCUUGCUCCACCGGAAAAAGAAGAGUGGCGAACGGGUGAGUAACACGUGGGUAACCUGCCCAUCAGAAGGGGAUAACACUUGGAAACAGGUGCUAAUACCGUAUAACAAUCGAAACCGCAUGGUUUUGAUUUGAAAGGCGCUUUCGGGUGUCGCUGAUGGAUGGACCCGCGGUGCAUUAGCUAGUUGGUGAGGUAACGGCUCACCAAGGCCACGAUGCAUAGCCGACCUGAGAGGGUGAUCGGCCACAUUGGGACUGAGACACGGCCCAAACUCCUACGGGAGGCAGCAGUAGGGAAUCUUCGGCAAUGGACGAAAGUCUGACCGAGCAACGCCGCGUGAGUGAAGAAGGUUUUCGGAUCGUAAAACUCUGUUGUUAGAGAAGAACAAGGAUGAGAGUAACUGUUCAUCCCUUGACGGUAUCUAACCAGAAAGCCACGGCUAACUACGUGCCAGCAGCCGCGGUAAUACGUAGGUGGCAAGCGUUGUCCGGAUUUAUUGGGCGUAAAGCGAGCGCAGGCGGUUUCUUAAGUCUGAUGUGAAAGCCCCCGGCUCACCCGGGGAGGGUCAUUGGAAACUGGGAGACUUGAGUGCAGAAGAGGAGAGUGGAAUUCCAUGUGUAGCGGUGAAAUGCGUAGAUAUAUGGAGGAACACCAGUGGCGAAGGCGGCUCUCUGGUCUGUAACUGACGCUGAGGCUCGAAAGCGUGGGGAGCAAACAGGAUUAGAUACCCUGGUAGUCCACGCCGUAAACGAUGAGUGCUAAGUGGUUGGAGGGUUUCCGCCCUUCAGUGCUGCAGCUAACGCAUUAAGCACUCCGCCUGGGGGAGUACGACCCGCAAGGUUGAAACUCAAAAGGAAUU